Molecule: ribosomal RNA, 433 nt
Filed under: uncultured bacterium
Lineage: Bacteria
Description: partial 16S ribosomal RNA
Rfam family: Bacterial small subunit ribosomal RNA
Source: RNAcentral
AGCGAACGCUGGCGGCAGGCCUAACACAUGCAAGUCGAACGAACUCUUCGGAGUUAGUGGCGGACGGGUGAGUAACACGUGGGAACGUGCCUUUUGGUUCGGAAUAACACAGGGAAACUUGUGCUAAUACCGAAUGUGGCCCUCGGGGGAAAGAUUUAUCGCCAUUAGAGCGGCCCGCGUUUGAUUAGCUAGUUGGUGAGGUAACGGCUCACCAAGGCGACGAUCAGUAGCUGGUCUGAGAGGAUGACCAGCCACACUGGGACUGAGACACGGCCCAGACUCCUACGGGAGGCAGCAGUGGGGAAUCUUGCGCAAUGAGCGAAAGCCUGACCCAGCCAUGCCGCGUGAAUGAUGAAGGUCUUAGGAUUGUAAAAUUCUUUCACCAGGGACGAUAAUGACGGUACCCGGAGAAGAAGCCCCGGCUAACUUCGUG